GUCGAGCGGACAGAUGGGAGCUUGCUCCCUGAUGUUAGCGGCGGACGGGUGAGUAACACGUGGGUAACCUGCCUGUAAGACUGGGAUAACUCCGGGAAACCGGGGCUAAUACCGGAUGGUUGUUUGAACCGCAUGGUUCAAACAUAAAAGGUGGCUUCGGCUACCACUUACAGAUGGACCCGCGGCGCAUUAGCUAGUUGGUGAGGUAACGGCUCACCAAGGCAACGAUGCGUAGCCGACCUGAGAGGGUGAUCGGCCACACUGGGACUGAGACACGGCCCAGACUCCUACGGGAGGCAGCAGUAGGGAAUCUUCCGCAAUGGACGAAAGUCUGACGGAGCAACGCCGCGUGAGUGAUGAAGGUUUUCGGAUCGUAAAGCUCUGUUGUUAGGGAAGAACAAGUACCGUUCGAAUAGGGCGGUACCUUGACGGUACCUAACCAGAAAGCCACGGCUAACUACGUGCCAGCAGCCGCGGUAAUACGUAGGUGGAAAGCGUUGUCCGGAAUUAUUGGGCGUAAAGGGCUCGCAGGCGGUUUCUUAAGUCUGAUGUGAAAGCCCCCGGCUCAACCGGGGAGGGUCAUUGGAAACUGGGGAACUUGAGUGCAGAAGAGGAGAGUGGAAUUCCACGUGUAGCGGUGAAAUGCGUAGAGAUGUGGAGGAACACCAGUGGCGAAGGCGACUCUCUGGUCUGUAACUGACGCUGAGGAGCGAAAGCGUGGGGAGCGAACAGGAUUAGAUACCCUGGUAGUCCACGCCGUAAACGAUGAG
RNAcentral lists this ribosomal RNA (770 nucleotides) under Bacillus licheniformis. Its description in RNAcentral is "bacterial SSU rRNA". It matches the Rfam family "Bacterial small subunit ribosomal RNA", at positions 61 to 813 of the family's 1533-position model. Lineage: Bacteria; Bacillati; Bacillota; Bacilli; Caryophanales; Bacillaceae. The record is from RNAcentral.